RNAcentral lists this ribosomal RNA (492 nucleotides) under uncultured bacterium. Its description in RNAcentral is "partial 16S ribosomal RNA". It matches the Rfam family "Bacterial small subunit ribosomal RNA", at positions 29 to 507 of the family's 1533-position model. The record is from RNAcentral.
AGUGAACGCUGGCGGUAGGCCUAACACAUGCAAGUCGAACGGCAGCACAGUAAGAGCUUGCUCUUACGGGUGGCGAGUGGCGGACGGGUGAGGAAUACAUCGGAAUCUACUUUUUCGUGGGGGAUAACGUAGGGAAACUUACGCUAAUACCGCAUACGACCUACGGGUGAAAGCAGGGGAUCUUCGGACCUUGCGCGAUUGAAUGAGCCGAUGUCGGAUUAGCUAGUUGGCGGGGUAAAGGCCCACCAAGGCGACGAUCCGUAGCUGGUCUGAGAGGAUGAUCAGCCACACUGGAACUGAGACACGGUCCAGACUCCUACGGGAGGCAGCAGUGGGGAAUAUUGGACAAUGGGCGCAAGCCUGAUCCAGCCAUACCGCGUGGGUGAAGAAGGCCUUCGGGUUGUAAAGCCCUUUUGUUGGGAAAGAAAAGCAGCAGGUUAAUACCCCGCUGUUCUGACGUUACCCAAAUAAUAAGCACCGGCUAACUUCGUG